AAAAGCCGAUCAAGCCCGCCGAAAUGCGCUCGCUGCUGUCGUUCCUGCUGGCUUAGAGCGGGACGAACCGACAUUGAAUCGUCAUUGCGAGCGAAGCGAAGCAAUCUACCUUUAAGGAGAAUGGAUUGCUUCGUCGCAAGCGCUCCUCGCAAUGACGACGUUGCAUUACUUCUGAACCUAAAUUCAUCCCGCUCCAGAGCGCGAUGCCUUCAGCCUGAUCCGUCAUGCCCGGGC
RNAcentral lists this unclassified non-coding RNA (234 nucleotides) under Hevea brasiliensis (rubber tree). Lineage: Eukaryota; Viridiplantae; Streptophyta; Magnoliopsida; Malpighiales; Euphorbiaceae. The record is from RNAcentral.